CUCAUUCCUUUGGGGUGUUGCGGAGGAGGGGAGUGAGGGGCUGAGAUUGCGGCCCCCCCCUUCCCUCCUUUCCCCCCCGUUAUGGCCCAACGGAGAUCCGGGACCCCCUCCCGGUGUCACCACUCACCAGGACCUGCCCUCCUCACCCCCCCGGGGGCUGAGCCGCUGGGAGACUCUGCUGCACCGCUCCGGACCCAUCAGCCCGCACUGCUCCCGCACCAUCAGGGAUUGGAGGAAGUCGGACCCCUCGUGCC
RNAcentral lists this long non-coding RNA (254 nucleotides) under Gallus gallus (chicken). Lineage: Eukaryota; Metazoa; Chordata; Aves; Galliformes; Phasianidae. The record is from RNAcentral.